GAUCCUGACAAUGCUAGUACAUCAAACGAUGACAGCAAACAGAGUUCCUACCUCAUCAGCUUCUGGAAUAAUGUGGUCAGAAAGCUACUGGGCAGUACCGGGGAUUGAACUCAGGACCUUGUGCUUGUGAGGCAGGUGCAGCACCACUGAGCUAAAUCCUCGACCCAAAGAAGACAAUUUCUGAAGACGAGAGAAUUAGCUUCUUAAUACCAAAUACAUGAAAAAGCAAAGUGGAAAGUUUUCUUGGGACAUGUGCACUGACCCAGACUGCUCAAGGACCUGAGGGUGUUUAGAUGGGUGUGAGCCCCACUGCCACCCUGUGUGGACACAGACCAAGGAACAGAAGGCUAGCAACUGGCCAAGGCCCAGAGUGCCCACUGAUAGGCACACGAAGGGGAGGACAACACUCCAAGAAACUCCAAGAAGCGCCCGUUCCAACAAAUUCUUACAGCCACAAACUGAGAAGGCCUCAAUUUUAAAACUGUUAACACCACUGCUGGCCAUAGCCCCAGUGCUAGGAAGGAGGCUCCCGUCAUUGCUUGGACGCAGGGCUGCUGCCCAGAAACAGCAAAGCCAGCUGGCCAAGAUUAAUGGGAACUGAUAAGAAAACCAGGGCAAGCUAGGGAUAUGCUGGAGGAAAAUUAAUUUGUAUUUGAAAUAGGAAAAAAG
This 669-nucleotide long non-coding RNA is filed under the name Heterocephalus glaber (naked mole-rat). RNAcentral's name for it is "lncRNA (ENSHGLG00000034908.1)". The record is from RNAcentral. Lineage: Eukaryota; Metazoa; Chordata; Mammalia; Rodentia; Bathyergidae.